AUUGAACGCUGGCGGCAGGCCUAACACAUGCAAGUCGAGCGGAUGAAGGGAGCUUGCUCCUGGAUUCAGCGGCGGACGGGUGAGUAAUUCCUAGGAAUCUGCCUGGUAGUGGGGGAUAACGUCCGGAAACGGGCGCUAAUACCGCAUACGUCCUGAGGGAGAAAGUGGGGGAUCUUCGGACCUCACGCUAUCAGAUGAGCCUAGGUCGGAUUAGCUAGUUGGUGGGGUAAAGGCCUACCAAGGCGACGAUCCGUAACUGGUCUGAGAGGAUGAUCAGUCACACUGGAACUGAGACACGGUCCAGACUCCUACGGGAGGCAGCAGUGGGGAAUAUUGGACAAUGGGCGAAAGCCUGAUCCAGCCAUGCCGCGUGUGUGAAGAAGGUCUUCGGAUUGUAAAGCACUUUAAGUUGGGAGGAAGGGCAGUAAGUUAAUACCUUGCUGUUUUGGCGUUACCAACAGAAUAAGCACCGGCUAACUUCGUG
Molecule: ribosomal RNA, 484 nt
Filed under: uncultured bacterium
Lineage: Bacteria
Description: partial 16S ribosomal RNA
Rfam family: Bacterial small subunit ribosomal RNA
Source: RNAcentral